UGUGUGUAGGGAGGCGUGGGAAAAUCAACAGUAGCUGUGAACCUAGCAUACACUUUGGCUGGUAUGGGUGCAAGAGUUGGUAUAUUUGAUGCUGAUGUCUAUGGUCCAAGCCUACCAACAAUGGUCUCUCCCGAAAAUCGGCUGCUUGAGAUGGACCCAGAGACGAAAAAAAUUAUUCCAACAGAAUACAUGGGAGUCAAGUUAGUUUCUUUCGGGUUUGCUGGAAAAGGGCGUGCAAUAAUGCGAGGUCCAAUGGUUUCUGGUGUUAUCAACCAAUUGCUAACUACUGCUGAAUGUUAUGAAAAGUGUUAGGUGAAAACCAGUUAACUGAGAUGCAAAUGAAAUAACAGCAGCAGCAGGUGUAUGCCCAAGAAAGCAGAACUUUUCGAUGGAUUUGGAGAAAGGCCUGAAAGCUCAGAGAACAAAGAAAUAUCACUGUAAAUAAUAUAAACUUAAUAUAUAAAAUCUAACAUCCAAAUUCAUACAUAUUAUUGCUAUAAAAUAAUAUAGAAUCCAAAAUAGA
Daucus carota subsp. sativus is the source of this 523-nucleotide long non-coding RNA. RefSeq lists it as uncharacterized. Lineage: Eukaryota; Viridiplantae; Streptophyta; Magnoliopsida; Apiales; Apiaceae. The transcript is spliced from 3 exons. The record is from RefSeq and is a predicted model, not a curated record.